GCAAGUCGAGCGCGUUUGAUUUGAUGCUUGCAUUGAUGAAAGAUGAGCGGCGGCGGGUGAGUAACGCGUGGGUAACCUGCCCUAUACACUUGGAGAACAUACUGAUAAGUUUACUAAUACAUGAUAAUAUAUAUUUACGGCAUCGUAGAUAUAUCAAAGUGUUAGCGGUAUAGGAUGGACCCGCGUCUGAUUAGCUAGUUGGUGAGAUAACUGCCCACCAAGGCGACGAUCAGUAGCCGACCUGAGAGGGUGAUC
Molecule: ribosomal RNA, 255 nt
Filed under: uncultured bacterium
Lineage: Bacteria
Description: partial 16S ribosomal RNA
Rfam family: Bacterial small subunit ribosomal RNA
Source: RNAcentral